UCAAAGCAUUGUACAUGACAACAUCCUUUCCUUUACAUCUGCCCUUUGCUUGAUGUUUGCCAGCUAUUAUUGCUUCAACAUCCAUUACCCAUCAGACUUGGCAUCAACCCUGGAGUUUCUGCAGAGGUGUUUUUUCUCCAUCAACCCAGAGAAGGGCACUAAAGUAGAGAAGACGUGUACCUCCCGACUUCAUGUGAACCCCAGAGUCCUCACCUUGAUUCAGGAGCUUUCAGAUUAUGAGUGGCGUGAUGUUUAGAUAUGGACUAAGAUCAGUAAGUUUUGUUCAAAUGUGAACAAAGGCAUUUGUAAGGUUUGUAAAAUGUUUUAAGCAAAGUUGUUCAAAUAUAUGUUUGCAGUUCUUACACUGCAUACAAAUUGUGUUUGUUUCACUGCAAGAGUUGUGUUCUCUUAUAUUUCCUCAUUUGCAUGACUGCACCUCAACAUGGUAUUGGUAUAUUGUUCAAUUAUUUCCCUUAGGAAGAAAGGAUGUAAUUGUUAUAGGGCAUGAAAAAAUUCUGAAAGAUCUUAAAGUGAGAAGAUUUUUUGGUAGAGUUGUAUACGUUUUGAUGUAAGGUAACGUUCUAUCUGUUAAUUUUGGAAACUGAUUACUACCUGCUGUUCCUAAUUUCUUUGAUCACCCUUUUAUUAUAUUAAUGUUCACACUAGUCUGUUGCUGCAGUAUGGUGUGUUAACACAUUCAAGCCCCAUAGUUAGACAAUGCAAAACUCAACCAGUCAUGGCAGCAGUAGAUGGCUGCUAGUGUGAUCAAUGUUGGUUAACAUUAUGUAUAAGCAAUUAUUAAGACUAAUUAGAUCAACAAGGUAUGGGUCAUUAUGUUUUUCUGUCAUGCUCACGUAGUCUAUUUUAAUACAGCCCAAUUCUUUUUGAAGUUCGACUCAUUUACUUAUUUUAUCAUUUGAAUCUUAGACUAUUACAUACAAAAAAUAGGCUCACUACAAUUUGACCAAUAAUGUAAUCAGAGAUGCCAAGCUGCUGCUUUGAAUUUGACAAAAUU
Molecule: long non-coding RNA, 1015 nt
Organism: Melanotaenia boesemani (Boeseman's rainbowfish)
Lineage: Eukaryota; Metazoa; Chordata; Actinopteri; Atheriniformes; Melanotaeniidae
Exons: 2
Source: RefSeq, a predicted model, not a curated record